UUGAAGAAUUUGAAGACUUCGACUUGCAUACUUGGAGGAUUUGAAGAAUGUUACUUACAUAUUUAAAGAAUUUGAAUACUUCAACU
RNAcentral lists this microRNA precursor (86 nucleotides) under Solanum tuberosum (potato). RNAcentral describes it as "MIR8024 microRNA precursor family". It matches the Rfam family "MIR8024 microRNA precursor family". The record is from Rfam by way of RNAcentral. Lineage: Eukaryota; Viridiplantae; Streptophyta; Magnoliopsida; Solanales; Solanaceae.